GAUGAACGCUGGCGGCGUGCCUAAUACAUGCAAGUCGAGCGAACAGACGAGGAGCUUGCUCCUUUGACGUUGGCGGCGGACGGGUGAGUAACACGUAGGUAACCUACCUAUAAGACUGGGAUAACUUCGGGAAACCGGAGAUAAUACCUGAUAAUAUUUCGAACCGCAUGGUUCGAUAGUGAAAGAUGGAUUUGCUAUUACUUAUAGAUGGACCUGCGCCGUAUUAGCUAGUUGGUAAGGUAACGGCUUACCAAGGCAACGAUACGUAGCCGACCUGAGAGGGUGAUCGGCCACACUGGAACUGAGACACGGUCCAGACCCCUACGGGAGGCAGCAGUAGGGAAUCUUCCGCAAUGGGCGAAAGCCUGACGGAGCAACGCCGCGUGAGUGAUGAAGGUCUUCGGAUCGUAAAACUCUGUUAUUAGGGAAGAACAAAAGUGUAAGUAACUGUGCACGUCUUGACGGUACCUAAACAGAAAGCCACGGCUAACUACGUG
This 497-nucleotide ribosomal RNA is filed under the name uncultured bacterium. RNAcentral's name for it is "partial 16S ribosomal RNA". It matches the Rfam family "Bacterial small subunit ribosomal RNA", at positions 28 to 507 of the family's 1533-position model. The record is from RNAcentral.